GAUGAAGAACGCAGUGAAAUGCGAUAAGUAGUGUGAAUUGCAGAAUUCAGUGAAUCAUCGAAUCUUUGAACGCACAUUGCGCCCCUUGGUAUUCCAUGGGGCAUGCCUGUUCGAGCGUCAUUUGUACCCUCAAGCUCUGCUUGGUGUUGGGUGUUUGUCUCGCGGUUCUGCGCAGACUCGCCUUAAAACAAUUGGCAGCCGGCUUGUUAGCCUGGAGCGCAGCACAUAUUGCGCCUCUUGCUAGCGACUGCCCGGCACCCAUCAAGCCCAUUUAUUUGCUCUUGACCUCGGAUCAGGUAGGGAUACCCGCUGAACUUAAGCAUAUCAAUAAGCGGAGGA
RNAcentral lists this unclassified non-coding RNA (339 nucleotides) under soil metagenome. Its description in RNAcentral is "partial contains 5.8S ribosomal RNA, internal transcribed spacer 2, and large subunit ribosomal RNA". The stretch from base 1 to 120 matches the Rfam family "5.8S ribosomal RNA", at positions 35 to 154 of the family's 154-position model. The record is from RNAcentral.